RNAcentral lists this transfer RNA (74 nucleotides) under Myotis brandtii (Brandt's bat). It matches the Rfam family "tRNA". From Rfam's summary of the family: Transfer RNA (tRNA) molecules are approximately 80 nucleotides in length. Their secondary structure includes four short double-helical elements and three loops (D, anti-codon, and T loops). Further hydrogen bonds mediate the characteristic L-shaped molecular structure. tRNAs have two regions of fundamental functional importance: the anti-codon, which is responsible for specific mRNA codon recognition, and the 3' end, to which the tRNAs corresponding amino acid is attached (by aminoacyl-tRNA synthetases). tRNAs cope with the degeneracy of the genetic code in two manners: having more than one tRNA (with a specific anti-codon) for a particular amino acid; and 'wobble' base-pairing, i.e. permitting non-standard base-pairing at the 3rd anti-codon position. The record is from Rfam by way of RNAcentral. Lineage: Eukaryota; Metazoa; Chordata; Mammalia; Chiroptera; Vespertilionidae.
GCUGGUUUGGCUCAGUAGAUAGAGCAUCGGACCUGCAAACUGAAGGGUCGCAGGUUUGAUUCCUGUCAAUGGCA